RNAcentral lists this unclassified non-coding RNA (191 nucleotides) under uncultured Cladophialophora. Its description in RNAcentral is "sequence contains ITS1". The record is from RNAcentral. Lineage: Eukaryota; Fungi; Ascomycota; Eurotiomycetes; Chaetothyriales; Herpotrichiellaceae.
ACGAGUUAGGGUCUUUCAGGCCCGACCUCCCAACCCUAUGUUUAUUGAACCUCUGUUGCUUCGGCGGACCCGUCUCACGGCCGCCGGAGGACCGCUGCGAGGCGUCCUCUGGCCAGCGUCCGCCGAUGGCCAACCCACUAAACUCUGAAUGAAUCGUGUCAUAUGUCUAAGUCUAUGAUUAAAUUAAAGCA